Molecule: ribosomal RNA, 253 nt
Filed under: uncultured bacterium
Lineage: Bacteria
Description: partial 16S ribosomal RNA
Rfam family: Bacterial small subunit ribosomal RNA
Source: RNAcentral
UACGGAGGGAGCUAGCGUUGUUCGGAUUUAUUGGGCGUAAAGAGCUCGUAGGCGGCUUGUCGCGUCGACCGUGAAAACUCGCAGCUCAACUGCGAGCCUGCGGUCGAUACGGGCAGGCUAGAGUUCGGUAGGGGAGACUGGAAUUCCUGGUGUAGCGGUGAAAUGCGCAGAUAUCAGGAGGAACACCGAUGGCGAAGGCAGGUCUCUGGGCCGAUACUGACGCUGAGGAGCGAAAGCGUGGGGAGCGAACAGG